GAUGAACGCUGGCGGCGUGCCUAAUACAUGCAAGUCGAGCGAACGGACGAGAAGCUUGCUUCUCUGAUGUUAGCGGCGGACGGGUGAGUAACACGUGGAUAACCUACCUAUAAGACUGGGAUAACUUCGGGAAACCGUAGCUAAUACCGGAUAAUAUUUUGAACCGCAUGGUUCAAAAGUGAAAGACGGUCUUGCUGUCACUUAUAGAUGGAUCCGCGCUGCAUUAGCUAGUUGGUAAGGUAACGGCUUACCAAGGCAACGAUGCAUAGCCGACCUGAGAGGGUGAUCGGCCACACGGGAACUGAGACACGGUCCAGACUCCUACGGGAGGCAGCAGUAGGGAAUCUUCCGCAAUGGGCGAAAGCCUGACGGAGCAACGCCGCGUGAGUGAUGAAGGUCUUCGGAUCGUAAAACUCUGUUAUUAGGGAAGAACAUAUGUGUAAGUACUGUGCACAUCUUGACGGUACCUAAUCAGAAAGCCACGGCUAACUACGUG
This 496-nucleotide ribosomal RNA is filed under the name uncultured bacterium. RNAcentral's name for it is "partial 16S ribosomal RNA". It matches the Rfam family "Bacterial small subunit ribosomal RNA", at positions 28 to 507 of the family's 1533-position model. The record is from RNAcentral.